This 497-nucleotide ribosomal RNA is filed under the name uncultured bacterium. RNAcentral describes it as "partial 16S ribosomal RNA". It matches the Rfam family "Bacterial small subunit ribosomal RNA", at positions 28 to 507 of the family's 1533-position model. The record is from RNAcentral.
GACGAACGCUGGCGGCGUGCCUAAUACAUGCAAGUAGAACGCUGAAGCUUGGUGCUUGCACCGAGCGGAUGAGUUGCGAACGGGUGAGUAACGCGUAGGUAACCUGCCUGGUAGCGGGGGAUAACUAUUGGAAACGAUAGCUAAUACCGCAUAAGAGUAGAUGUUGCAUGACAUUUGCUUAAAAGGUGCCAUUGCAUCACUACCAGAUGGACCUGCGUUGUAUUAGCUAGUUGGUGAGGUAACGGCUCACCAAGGCAACGAUACAUAGCCGACCUGAGAGGGUGAUCGGCCACACUGGGACUGAGACACGGCCCAGACUCCUACGGGAGGCAGCAGUAGGGAAUCUUCGGCAAUGGACGGAAGUCUGACCGAGCAACGCCGCGUGAGUGAAGAAGGUUUUCGGAUCGUAAAGCUCUGUUGUAAGAGAAGAACGAGUGUGAGAGUGGAAAGUUCACACUGUGACGGUAUCUGACCAGAAAGGGACGGCUAACUACGUG